UCUGUUUGUGUGUUUCCACAGGGAGAACAGCAGCCGAUUUGGAUUCCAAGAGGCUAACUAAAGUGAUUUUUACAAACGAAAAAGGAGAUGAUUUGGCUCAAAGUCCAUAACAGCUGAUAUCCAGAACUCCAGUUUAGCUAUCCUUACAUCUGUGACAAUGGUUCUCCCACACCUGGAGGCUAAUGAGUAAUGAGCAUCAUAAGGGCCUAUUUCAAAUGUAAAAAAACCUUAAGACUUACGUGUGGAAAUACCAUCAAACCCAUAUGCAAAUUACAAGAAGAAGGAUGAGAUAUCAAAAGAAGAGUUAAACCAAAGUUGUAAUUAGGAUGCUAUUCUCAAUAUCUAUUUUAUUAUGUCCUAUUUUAUUUUUUUGAGCUCAUACAGACAUAGGUAAAUGUUUUUUUGUGAUCAGUUCUAUUUUUUUUAUUAACUGUGGAGCUUUUAAACAUUGCAAUGGAGAUUUUACCUGUGAAAAACUAUAAGGCCUUUACUUUUGUAUUGUGUGUACACACUUGGGUUAUGUGUUGUAUGUGUGUAUGUGUGUAUGUCCAUAUAUAUUAUAUGAGGAGCACUCAUGAAAAAAAUGGAUCCAAAUAUAUUUUUUCUUAUUCACAUGAUUGAAACAGUUUAAUUUAAAUUAGGUAACAAAAAUAGGAGAUUAAGAGAUCUGUUUUUUUUUUUUUUUACUUUCAGCUUUCUUUUUCAUUUUAUCUAAUUCUGUUCAGAAUAAUUCUUAGUGCCUGCUGGAAAGUUAUAAAUUUUUUUUGUCAAUAUUGCCAGAAUUCCUAUCUUCAUCCCAGUGCCGGUGAAGACAAUGGUACAAGAAUUUUCAGUAUUACUGAAAAAACAAAUGCGACUUCAGAAUUACAGCCACCAUCAUCACAACUGUUGCUGUUUCUGCUGCUGCUACUAAAGCUUCUGCGAUGGCUGUCACACAAACUGUACAAACUGAUGCAUUAGUAUUUACUUCAAGAAGAAAAAGACAUAUUAAUGAAUUCCUCUGCUUUAAGCUGCUUCCAGAACUUGCCUGGACAAUGUAUCAUUUAUAUGCAUUAUGAACUGAUACAACAAAUUGUAAUUAGUACCAGAGUAUCUUUGCUGAUGGUGUCAUUGGUUGUACAAUUUUUCCAAAAGGAGCUGUCAAUUGGCUUGGUAACAUUGUGUUUUGUAUCUUCCCCCUUCUGCUUGUAGCAGGUUACUCAAAAGUAUGGCUAAUAAUGCUGGGCCAGUAGUCAAUGACAGGUAAGAUGCAAUUGCAAUGGUACCAACCUAAGACAGGAGGCUGACGCCUUGAGGACAGAUCAUCUGAUGAUGGGUAAGGAUCAUAUGUAGUAUUGGAAAACCUAAGACAGGCACAGUCCCUAAGCCACAUACUUGUUGUUUAUAUUAAACAAAAGGGGAGAUGAAGAGGCCUCAAUCAAGUUAAGAUGGCGCCUGGCAGUAUGCUAGGAGGAGUGGUUUCUGAGCC
Molecule: long non-coding RNA, 1468 nt
Filed under: Marmota monax (woodchuck)
Lineage: Eukaryota; Metazoa; Chordata; Mammalia; Rodentia; Sciuridae
Source: RNAcentral